GAUAUUGUCAAAGAAUCGAAAAAAUUUAUAGAUUACAGUAAUUUGGACACUUUGCCAGAAGCAGAUAUAUAUUACCAGUAUCUUUUGCAUGUUAUUAUACAAAAAGCAUCUC
This is a long non-coding RNA of Melanaphis sacchari, 112 nucleotides long. RefSeq lists it as uncharacterized. The transcript has 3 exons. Lineage: Eukaryota; Metazoa; Arthropoda; Insecta; Hemiptera; Aphididae. The record is from RefSeq and is a predicted model, not a curated record.